AAGGGUUACAGCUAUUUUAGAAUUUGUCUAGGAGGUUUUCCAGUCCUUACCAACCCGC
This 58-nucleotide small nuclear RNA is filed under the name Microcebus murinus (gray mouse lemur). RNAcentral describes it as "U7 small nuclear RNA (ENSMICG00000026273.3)". It matches the Rfam family "U7 small nuclear RNA". From Rfam's summary of the family: Animal histone pre-mRNAs are spliced by a different mechanism than nuclear pre-mRNAs and self-splicing introns. The record is from Rfam by way of RNAcentral. Lineage: Eukaryota; Metazoa; Chordata; Mammalia; Primates; Cheirogaleidae.